Molecule: long non-coding RNA, 798 nt
Filed under: Triticum aestivum (bread wheat)
Lineage: Eukaryota; Viridiplantae; Streptophyta; Magnoliopsida; Poales; Poaceae
Description: long non-coding RNA (TAES_LNC015130)
Source: RNAcentral
GUGGAGGUGGCGGCAAAGGGGGAGGAGGAGGCGGUGGCGGUGGAGGUGGAGGCGGCAGGAGCGUCGGAGGGGGAGGAGGAGGAGCAAAGGGAGGCGGAGGCGGAGGCGGAGCGAAGGGGUCAGGCGGCAGCGGGGGCGCCGGGAAGUCGUCCGGCACUGGCGGUGGCAGCGGCGGCAUGAUGAAGGCGCCCGGCGGCGACGGCGCCUACAUCUCCCGUCCCGGGUUCGAGUCCAACCCGCAGGGCUACUUCCAGGGCCUCCACGGCGCCGGAGGAAAGUAGCCGGAGACUGGGAGCGCUCUUCCCGUCUUCCGUCAGUCAGUCAAUCAGUCAGUGGAGCUUCUCGUCACUCGUCCGCAGCUUAAUUCGGCCAUGCAUGCAUGUUUACGCAUUGGCUUCUAAAUAAUGUAACCCCGUCAGAGCAGCCUGCAUGCUAGUCCAAGUCGGUCUCGUUCGCAGCGUUCGCUUGAUUGUAAUGGAAGUACUGAUGAACCAUGCCAGCAAUGAUCGUGGAAAUUAAGUCAUCGAUUGUUCAUGUUUGACUGAUCGUGUGGUGGCCUUUUCCUACUCAUCGCCUUCGUGUUUGGUUGAUCGUGUGAUGGCCUUUUCGUACUCAUUGCCAUAUGCCCAUAUCGUGAGUUAAUCGAAGUGCAUGCGACCGAUAUUUUCUUAGGUGCAGAAGUGCAUGCGAUUUAUCGCCGCUAAGCAAUUUUGGAUGCAUGCCAUUUCCAGACAACGAAGUUAAUCCGAAUUACUCUGUAUAUUAGUAAAUUAUACGCUUGCUUAAGCAUUGCAUACG